Molecule: RNA transcript, 2107 nt
Organism: Syngnathus typhle (broad-nosed pipefish)
Lineage: Eukaryota; Metazoa; Chordata; Actinopteri; Syngnathiformes; Syngnathidae
Gene name: single-stranded DNA cytosine deaminase-like
Exons: 6
Source: RefSeq, a predicted model, not a curated record
CCAUAGUAAGUAAGAAGCAAAAGAUGAUUCAUACACUCUUGCACUUGAUUGGCUCAACUAGACGGGUAAAACAAGUCAGAUAAGGUUUUAGACUAUAAAGCAAUGUCAAUGGCAGAGCAAGGGUCAAUGGGUGCCGGUCUUCUGAAGAAUUGGAACGCUUACAUUCUCCAUUAGGAUGGCAGAAGCAGGUGAGGUUUUGGAAAGAGAUCUGUUUCUCUUACAAUACAAAAAUGUGUGCAUGGCAACGGAACUGCAAAAGGCAACCUACCUGUGCUUUAAAGCAAAUGGCGGUUGGACUAAAUCUGGAUGGUUUUGCAAUCAACCGCGUAUAAAACACGCAGAGAUUCGAUUUCUGGAGAACCUGGAAACCUUGGAUCGUAAUCUCAAAUACACGGUCACUUGUUACUUGUCCUGGUCUCCCUGUGCAGACUGCUCCGAGGCAUUAGUCAACUUCCUGUCCAACAAUCCAAACGUAAAUCUUCGUAUCUUUGUGUCGCGCCUCUACCGCAUUGACGAGAGGAGAAAUUGCGAGGGCCUGAAGCUGCUGAAUGAUGCCGGAGUGCAUCUCAAAGUCAUGAAUAAUGAACACUUUGAAUACUGCUGGAAAACCUUUGUUGAUCAUAAACAAAGCCCUUUCCCACUUUGGGACGACAUUGUUGAAAACCACGCUUAUUAUGAAGAAGAGCUCACCGAUAUUCUCCAGCAGGAACGUGGGACCAUAAACUGAUGCAGUCAGAGAAACUGAAAGAUGACUACAUCUCACUCAUAUCCACCGUCCAAGACUCAAAGAAGCGUGCCAUCGUGCCACCUGCAAAAAUAAAAUCAGGGGUGGGCAAACUUUUUGACUCGCGGGCCGGACUGGGUUCUAAAUUUGGACCGGAGGGCCGAACCAGGAGCAGAUGGACGUAGUGUUUGUGUGAAGUAAUAUAAGCGACCUGUAAAGGUCAUUGCAUAAAAGAUUUUGGCCUUUAGUAGGUAGUAAAGCAUGGAUAUUCCAAACAAGUUUUUUGAAAACAAAUGCAUUUAUUAACAGCAUUAAAAAAAAUUCACUAAAAAACUGCUAUCGGUGAUUCUCAUAAAAUACGACACUGUUAUUAUGAAUAACAGUCUCCAUCACUUCAGUGCCUGCAGGUCAGAUUAAUGAAAGAUGUUUAUCUUAUGAGAUCACAUCAAACGGCAAACAUUCUGACCAAAUAUAUCAUCUUGAAGAAUCGGUGAAAGCAUACAUCCAAAUAAAGUAAUCAAAACUGCAACACGGUGAGGGGUAUCUGAAAAUCAGAGCAGAGUUUUAACUCACAAACAUCUGGUAACAGAGGUGAGGAUGUCGCGAACGUCGAGCCAAAUUGGUCAGUCUUUUUUUAACAUUCGGCACUCACUUCUUUUCUUCGGGCCACUAAUUUUAAUGGAAGGAUUCCAGGGGAAGGUUUGUGGGUGACUUUAGCGUAAAACGGUAUCUGAAAGCUCAGCGCGCGAAUUGCAAGAAUGCCGUCGUCACAGCCCACGCUCUAAAUUUGGGGCUGAUACAAAUAGAGCGCGAGUGCGCCAUAUCCGUACUGCUGAGUACGUACACGCACUUGUGAGUGUGCACCGAGCUUUCCGACACGGCUUCCGGUAGUAAAUUCGCAGGCGAGCGCUUCCCCAUCUACUGGGGAAACGCAGUCAUUGCAGGCAAUAUGACCAAAAAAACGUUAUAAUAAUACAAUUUAUUCAGGGUUGGCGGGCCGGAUUAAACGGUCCCGUGGGCCGGAUGUGGCCCGCGGGCCGUAGUUUGCCCACCCCUGCCCUAGAUAGUAUCGUUUGUUGAAGAGAAAAUACCGGCACACAUAUGCACAUGGUUAAAGAGAAACGAAAGUAAGAACAAGCCGAAGAUGAUUCAUACACUCUUGCACUUGAUUGGCUCAACUGGACAAAUCAAACAAGUCGGAUAAGGUUUCAGAUUAUAAAAGAACAUUCUUGACAGACCAAGGGUCAAUGGGUCCCGGUCUUCUGAAGAAUUGGAAAGCUUAUAUUCUUCACUAGGAUGGCAGAACCAGGGUAAGUCCGGACGUGUGUGCGUUGCUUGCCAAAUUUGAUAAAGGCUGCAUUACAUUAAAAAACAAUUUCCCAA